AAGGCCUGUUUGAACCUUCAACGUGCGUGGGUCAAAUGAUUGUUUAGGAAGUCUGUAUGAUGACGAAAAAACUGCAGGUGACUAGAAGCUGCCGAUGAGCUGCCAGUCCGGAUGGCAGCUAUCAACACUGCAAGGGCCUGAAGGCGCAUCAGCCCUCCCCCCGUUCCUCUACUGGCAUUGGAGACAGGAUGCUUUGUAAAAGUGGGAGCUCAUGAAGGUGGCACUGUGCACAGAGGGACAGAGUGGCUGACAGUGAGCUGCCCAAGACAACCUGCUGGCUCUCGUGACCAUCUCCGAAAGCCUCUGGAUGGGCUAAUUGACAGGUGUGCCUGGACAUUUAUAAACG
Molecule: long non-coding RNA, 346 nt
Filed under: Ixodes scapularis (black-legged tick)
Lineage: Eukaryota; Metazoa; Arthropoda; Arachnida; Ixodida; Ixodidae
Description: uncharacterized LOC121838252
Source: RNAcentral